Ceratina calcarata is the source of this 4322-nucleotide RNA transcript. It is a transcript of the gene named inner membrane mitochondrial protein mitofilin, with no coding region annotated. The record is from RefSeq and is a predicted model, not a curated record. The transcript is spliced from 15 exons. Lineage: Eukaryota; Metazoa; Arthropoda; Insecta; Hymenoptera; Apidae.
UCCACCGCGUUCCCACUGAUAGAGGACCGAUGUGGUUCGUCGACCUAUAACCUAAAACGCACGAGUUCGAACCGAUUAUCGUGGAACGACGUAUCGAAUUCGAGCGAAUAAUGGUUUAAAAUGAAGCCACCAAACUAUCGUUCCGCGUAGUGACGCGAGUGUUGGUGAACGACGCGAGGAAAUUCUGAUUACGUACCCCGGACAGCGGUAUUAACAAUACGCAACAUUCUUCUUUUCGCCUAGUUCCGUCGGUGGUAACCAGCUGUUUUGUCCCGUCGUUCCCUUUUUCCUUUGGCUGCCUGACCGGCCACCCGAAAGAUGUUCCGAAUUGGAUUAAAAUUUCCGUGCAACGGUCUAAACAGGGUAUGUAAAGUCAAAAAGCAUGGACCUUCCAGACUCUACUUAACAACCAGGUGUUACGAAACACGUACACGAGUUAAAUGUGAGCCAGAGUGGAGGUAUUUCAAGGAUGUCAAACUUAUGUCCAGAAUAUCUGGACAUAGGUAUUCAACUGAUUCAUCGAAAAGUGAAAAGAGCAGUAAAGGCCCCAGGACACUGUUAACACUAACUGCAGUGGCUGUCGGAGCAUCAGGGGUGUUACUUUAUGCAAAGCACGAUCCUGUAUUUCGUGCCAAUCUUGAAGCCUGGGUACCCGGCACGGACAAGACGAUUCAGAUCAUCUUUCAGGAGGAAUCAUCUUAUUUUGAAUUCAUACGUACAUUCUUUGAAACAUUAAAACAAUCGAUAGUAAGUGCCAUUUUCGGAGAGGAGUCGCAGAAAGACAAACCAGCACCAAAGCCAGCUUUUGUACCACUGGUUGAUAAGAAGGAACCGCCUAUUAAUGAACCUUAUACGGAAAUAAGAUUAAGUAAAGAAAAAGGACAAGAAAUUGAAGUUGUGGCUGAGAAACCUGCGCCAAUUACGAAGAGUAUACCUCAGGAGUUAAUGCCAAAAAAUUUGGUCGAACUUGAAACGUCAUGCGGUGAAACUGCAGCCAAAGCUAUUGCCGCUUAUCAGAAAGCAGCGUGUGCAAUUCAAGAUUAUAAUCAAGAUGUUGUAAAAAUCGUGGAGAGUUCUCACGCUACGAUUGGGAGUUCCAUUUGGAACAGGCUAAAAGAUGCGACGGAAAAGAGGAAGAGUUCCGUUAAAGAGGCGGAAGAUCACGCCAAGCUCGCACUCGAGUCACUCAAGAAAAUGUAUAGUUUAAUAGAUGAUCCUCAAUUUGAUGCGCCUUCGCACGUGAAAACAGCUGCCCGUAGGAAUAUUAAAAAAAUAUUGGACGACGUGGACGACGCGAAGAAGAAAUACGAGGUGGAAAUAGAAAGCGGAAACAUGGCCGAGCGUUACUGGAAACAGGUCAAAAUAGCUCGAGAGAACCUCAAUGAAGAACUUCAAAUACUAUUCCCCGACAUCAAUAUUCACGAGAAAAAAUUAACCCUCAACGAGCACGCUUUCGACCUGUUCGUUCUACACAUGUACAACAAAGUGAGCAGCUUACAGAAGGAUUUGGAAAAAUUGAGAACGAUCAACGAAAGCAAAAUUAAGGCGGCGUUGAAGACGACGGGCGAUACGGCAGUGCAAGAAAAACUGGACACGCUGGUCUGUUUGGAAUUGGACAAGGAGAAACAGUUGCUUCAGGACGAGUUCAAUAAAAAGUUGUUGGAGGAGCAGAAGAAGUUUGAAGACGAUGUGCGGCGACAGUUAAAGUUGCAGGAACAGGUGCAUACUGACCAUCUUCAAGAAGCGAUUGCAUUGAAGCAGCAGGAAGUGAUGAGGACCAUGAAUCGCGCGCUGAGCGAGCAAGCAGAAUCCUUUUCCACGCAGCACAAGACUAGCCUCGCAGCCAUCGUCGGCAGGUUACGCGGUCUCGAAGCUGCGCUCAAGGCUCGCUUGGAGGAAGAAAGGGGUGCGUCGCACGCUCAGCUUUUGUGGUCAGCGUGCCAGACCUUGGCUCGGGCUGUGAAAUCCGCUUCGCCAGGUACUCCCAUAGAUGAGGCCAUCAGGCCCCUCGAACCAGAAAUCAGGGCCAUCGCCAAGGCAGCACCGAAAGAGGAUCCUUUGGUGGAGGCAGCCAUUCAGGGAAUUCCUGAGGUAGCCGCAAAGAGAGGAGUAUUCCCGGAAGACGUCCUUCGUGCGAGAUUCCUCAAGGUGGAGGAAAUGGCCAGACGAUUGGCUAUGGUGCCGGAGGAGGGUGCCGCGUUGCCGGUCUACAUCCUCAGCUAUCUCCAGAGUUGUUUGAUGAUCAAAAACGCCAGCCCCAUACCACAGCGCGAGAUCGAGGACCACCCGAUCGACGUCGACUCCCUCAACACUUACGAUAUACUCCAUCGGGCCAGGUAUUGGCUGGACCGUGGUGAUUUCAAAAUGACACUCCGCUACAUGAACCUGCUGAAGGGUGCGCCCAGGUCCAUUGCCAGGGACUGGAUGAACGAGACCAAAAUCAUGUUGGAGACCCAACAGGCGGUGGAUACCUUGCUGGCGUACGCCGGUUCCAUAGGUCUGGUGUUCCUCGGCGCCGGGGACUCGAAGGUCAGUCGAAACGAUUAGAACAAGGGAACAGACGCUACAUAGGAGAACAAUUUUUUUUUUUCUCUAGUUUCGUUAGGCUUUGUCCGUCGGAACGAUGAAUUCGAUUCGUUGGAUUGAGUGCUUUUGAAAUGAUCUUUUGAAAUUGGAGCAUGCAGUGUUUCAUGUUUAUAACUGCUGAGGUGCAUACAGGUGCUGACAAAUAUAAUGGAUUAUGUAAAAAAAAAAAGAAAGUAUUCUCUAGUCGACAGUUUUUUAUAACUUCUUCAUUUGUUUGGCUCCCCGAUAAUACAUUUAAACAUUCUCGUUUUCCGACUACUAUUUUUGCGAAUCCGAGCGGAUUACGGAACUCCUCGGAUUUCCCAAAUGCUUAAAAAAGAGAAAAGACAGAAAAAGACCGGUAAAGACCGACACAAAUCGAAACGACUAUUCGCCGGCCAGAGUGCUCGUCCCUUCGUGAAUUCUCUCGCGUCGACAAAGAACCCUCCCUCGAAAAGAAAGCACACGAAAAAAAAAAAAUACCAGAAACCGACCGAAACGAACCGAAAAGCGAAACCGCAAGCCGAGUGAAAACGAAAUCUCGAGACCUCGAAAAAAAAACUAAAUAUGAAAAAAAUGAAAAAAAGAGACGAUAAAAGGAGGAAAGCGCAGAUACUGGGAAAAACGUUCCUUUGCUUGUUGUUCGAAGUGUUCCAGUAAGGCUCGCGCGGAACAGGCCGUGGGUCGGCGAGCAUGACGAAGCCGAAGAGAACUCGCGCGGGAACGCCGCCGAACUGGCGGAAGAGCUCGCAGGACGACGAGGAAACGUGCCGGGAGAAAAUGGUCGUACGCUGCGGUCCGGACCACCGUGAACCGAGUGCUCGGAUGGGAAAUGUGGGAAACGAUCACCGGGGAUGAGAAACGAGCCGGACUCGAGCUCCUUCUGCGAUCGGAUUCCAAUGCGAUGACGGAAACGAAAGUUCUCCUGGUGCAGAGAGACGCACUGGAUCGCUCGCUUUAAAUGCUAUAUCUAUUUUUAUUCCAAUCGAGUUUAGGAAUUUCACGGUAAGACUGCUUGGAAUUUUGCUGUCCAAGCUUUGGCUCCUGUAUAAAAUCACAGUCGCGGUAUCUCAAAUCUUACGUUUUAAUUAAAAUGUUUAUUCUAUUCCUUCGAUGAGAAUCACAUUUUUAUUGAAAUGUUUGUGUGCGUGUUAUUUGAGUGUCUGGGAUUUCUGAGAACUGGAUAAAAAGCGAGAGAAAGUUUCAAUCGUAGGGAUGUUUCCCGCAAGGUUAAUUCAUUUUGUACCGCGUCUCCUGUUAAUCCAGGAUUUGUCAAAACGAAACUACGCCAUAUGGAGCUCGUUUCAAACGGGAAAGCGAAAAAGUUCAUGAGUCCCGGCAAUCCUCUGGCAAAAACCAGGCCAAACUUGUUUAUUUCGCACGAUUCACUGUGUUUCGUUUUACUAAAAAUGUUGAAGUAGGAAUUGCACCUAACAAAAAUUGUAUAUAGUAUAUCGAAUAUUUGAAACUUCUCAAAUUACAUUUGAAUAUUACACCAAAUAUCCUCAGCGUACAAAGAGAUCUUUCGAGAACGUUUCCGCCGCGAGCGAGUUUCUUGUUUCCUAAUCUAUCUAGACAAUCCAAGGUUAUCUUGAAUUCCUUAUACUUAUUAUAUUACAUAUUAUUAUAAAUAUUCUCGAUCGACCGUGGAUCGUCUAGGUGUCUUGUGGAAACCGUGCGAGUCGGACGAGUGAGAACUGCCUAGCAAUUAAUAGUGAAUGAUAAAAUAAACGUUACGUCGAUGCCGUCUGAACGAA